UGCCCAUCCACUCAAUCCCCUCUCCCCUUUCUCCGACUCUCCGUCUCUUCCUCUCUCUCUCCCGUGCGACGGUGCACCGGCCGGGGUGGCCGUUCUCCGGCGCGGACCCUCCUCCCUCCCUUUUUUCCGACAUGCUGUCGCGCCAGGCGCCUCCUCCGAGGCGGCGUCGCACCGGACGCCCUCGGCGCGGCCGGGGCCCUGUUCUCCGACGAGGAUCCUCCUCCAUCCCUCUCUCCCCACGUGCUGGCGCAUAGGCAGCUCCUCCAAGGCGGCGGCGCACUGGACGCCCUCGGUGCGGCCGGGGCCCUGUCCUCGGCACGGCGACGCAACAACACGUCACGCCUGCCGUAGUCCAUAUAGCCGCACGUGGCAGCGCUGGCUGCGGGCGCCCUCCUCCUCGUCCUUUCCCCUCGUGCGCUGGGCACCGUCGAUGGCCGCCGGUGGCCACCGGCGUCGCUUGCCCCCAGUGCUGCCUCCUCCAUCUACUCCGUGUGUAUUCAUGUGCUGCAGGUGCUACAGGAAACCCUAGCAGUCUGGGCUAGGGGUCGCGGUGGUCUAGCUUCAACUCAAUCCCCGGCGGUGGUGCCCUUCUCUAGUGUGGACGCGCUCGCCGGCGGCAGCAGCGGUGGCUACCAGGUUGUUGCCCCUCUGUCGAUUGUGUGGGCGAUAAGGUAACCUCCCAUCUCUUCCCUCUCUCUCCGUCUUUUUUACUGGAUGUCUUGGUGGUAGGAGCCAAAAUUAUUGGUGCAGUUACCAAAUUUUGGUGAGAUUUUUUUCUAUAUUUUUGGUACAAUUGAUGCAAAUCUAUUUCUAGAUGCUCACCUCCCUUCAAUCAGUCACAAUGUUCCUCAAGUGCUGCAUUGGUGAAUACCCAGGCCUGUACAAACCAAUCAAAUUUAUUCAUGUAUGUUCCUCAAUAUUAGAUUUCCACAUUUCAGACUAAUGUUUUAAACAAGUUAAGAAAUUUUGGAUAGGUCAAAGCUUACUAUAGCAGAUGGAAUGGUUUUCUUCCUUUCAAAUUUGUGUCUGAAUGUUCUGUGUAGACAUGUAUAUUUUUUAUUAAAAUUUAUUCCAGUUUGAGAAGUGAGUGCUCUUUGUUCAUGUUCCAGAUAAGAACUAAUUUCUUUGAGCUAAUUCUACAAAAGGGUUUUAUUUUGCAAGGCAAGCAUGGUGCAGGCUUAGAUUUAGCUUCGUCUCAUAUUGAUUUCUUCUUUUCAAAAUUGUGCCUGAAUGUUCUCUGUACACAUGUAUGUUUUUUUUAUUUGUUCCCGUUUGAGAAGCGAGUGCUCUUUGUUCAUGUUCCAGAUAAGAACUAAUUUGUUUGAGCUAAUUCUAGAAAAUGGUUUUAUUUAAGGCAAUCAUGGUGCAGGCUCACAUUUGCUUUGUCCCAUAUUGGCAACCAUAGAUGUUAGACUUAAAUAUUUGCUAUGGCAAAACAUGUUUUAGAAUCAUUUUACCUAUUUAAUUUUAGCAUCUAUCUUUACUUUUGUGAGCGAAGUAAUUCACUAUUACUGGGAAAUGUUUGGUUGCUUCUUAUAUGUGCACUCUAUAUAUACUUAUAACAAGCCGAACAAAACUUUGCUUCUUGGAGGCCAUGGUUAGAGAGAGUUUGUUUACCUGUAGCACAUUAGCGGAGUGCCUAACAGUAUGAAGCAAUUUAUAAAUAUUAAAAAGUUUACAAGGAUUAGCUUCUGUAUAUGUAGGCAUUGCCUCACCUUAUGAUUACCAAUUAUCUAAUGGUGUGCCAGAUAAUUGAUAGCUUUAGUACAUCAGCUAAGAUGAAUCCUUUAUUAGAAUACAAUAUAAUCAGUAUAUAGUAAAUAUAUAUUUCUAUACGACCACCUGGUUUCCAUGGCUCCAUUUUUUAAUGAAUAAAUAGUAAAUACAUUUUUUAAGAUGUACGCUCUUUAUUACAUUAUGUCCCUUUUAGCUAGCUUGUUGGUCACAGGUAAUUUUCAAUGUUGAACCCCUUCUUGAUUUGUGCAAUAUAAGUAUUCCAUGAACUGGCAUGAUUUUGUACCAUCCACAACACCUGCUAUUUAUUUUUUAGACUAGCAGCUACAACCCUGUCAUUUAUUUGCUACUGAUAAAAAUGCAUAGUCAGAGUUUUUGAGUAGCUCACCUUAUUAUUACCAGUGAUUUGAUGGUGUGUUAGAGAUUUUAUACCUUUUCCAUGUCAUCUGAAAUGGAACUGUACUUUUUGUUUAGUGAAUUACCCUAACAAUGCCCGGAAUUUUUUUUGCUGGUCCAGAUCGGCGAUAGGUCAUCUUCGGCUUUUCUUAUUGGUCCACCUCUGCACAAGGCAUUUGCUUGGCUGUGGUUUUUUCAUGUCGUCUAAAAAACUAUGUCCAUAUGUCGCUCUCCUAUCGCCGCUCCACCCCUGUUGAACAUCUCUUUCCGAUGUUCUUAGCGUUUGGCAUUUGCCAUUUUCCCCUCUCUUCAGCCUGUGAUGAAAAUUUUAUAUCUAUUGCUCAAUGAUAUGAUCUGAUGUUCAGCCGCUUGUGAGGUACCUGGCAUGACUGUUGCUUAUAUCAUACGAUUUGUCAGCAUGCCUUGAAGCUCUAAGUAGAUGAACAAAUGAUGAUUGCUAUGCUUCUGAGGCCUCUAGAAAUCAUGUCUUUGUUUACAAAAACAUUCCUGCCUUCUUCAUUGCUGCAACAUACUUUUGCUGUAAUUGUUAAUUCACAAAGUCUUUUCCAAAAUCCUUGGUAGUGUCAUUAACUUUGCAAUACCAAUAUUACCUGUUCAUGAUCUAUCUCUGUAGAGUACCUCAUUUAUCGACUUUGUGGAAAUUAGUCCCAAUAUGGUUUUGAGGCUCCUGUUGUACUGGUAACUUUUUUAACAAAAAAAAGUUCACUAUACCGGUUUAAGGUUGUGUGAUGUCGCCUUUGAAAGAUUAUGGCUUACAUUUGUUACGUAAAUAAUAGUCCAUUGCCUACUUCAGUAGCACAAUAUCUUUUAUUAGUCCAAACUUCACCCAUGAAAGGGAAAAUUCAAGUGCAUUUAAAUCUUAAAUUAGAGCCUUUUUAGUAACCUAAUCUUGCUAAGUUCAAUAGUUAGCGUGCAGUGCUAGGCUGCCAGCUGUCGAAUUCUCACUGCUGCUCAUAUCUUCAUAAGGUGAGUACUCUCCUUUUUCUAUAUCACCAAAGUAUGUGUUGAUUUUUCAUCAUGUGCCCCAUUCCUGUUGAUUUUAGCACCUACUCUGUUUGUAUAAAUUCACAAUUCUGGAUGGAUCAUAUGGCGUUGCACCUUUGUCAGCACCCUGCUUGGAUAUCCUGCAUGGCAUCGCCCAGACCGGUCAUGCGUCAAUCCCUUUUCUUCUUCGUCCUUAGGGUUCUUUCCAAUCUUGUUAGUCCUAAUGAAAUUAGAUACUAUCUUAUUGUUCCUAAUAAAAUAAGAUACUCUCUUCGUUCUAAAUUAUUAGUUGUUUUGACUUUUUGGGUACAUCUAUUUUGCUAUGAGUCUAGAUAUAAUAUGUCCAGAUGCAUAGCAAAAUGGAUGAACCAAAAAAGUCAAAGCAACUUUGAAAUAGAGGAAAUACUUGCCUGCUUGACGGGGCUUCAAGGCUUGUCAAUUUACUUUUGAUUAUGAAUAUCGGCCUUCCACAGUUUGACAUGAGUUUGUUUCUUUUGUUGUGCUUUCGAUUUCCAGUCAUUGGUUAGCCUUGAAGAAAUAUGGACCGGUGUUAUUGUUGACUGCUUCUGAAUGGCUGCGCCGAAGAUUUCACAUCAUAGCUGCCUCUUCAACAAGGCAAUUAUCAAAUCUCACUGUCUUGACCAAUUCAUAGAAGCAGUUCAGGGAAUGUACGACAUGUACUUGACCAAAAGGAUGAGAGGGAUAUAAAAGUUGAAUUGUGUGUUAACCUUGAAUUAAACAGAUUAUUGACUUGAACUGUACAAGAUCUUUCAAGUCAUCAGCUCCACAUAUUUGCAAGAGUAGUUGUUGCUCUUCAAAAUGCGAAAAAUCCAUGUACAUAUGUAUUUAUCUAUCAUCCUCAGUUUUCAAUAUGGUUUCUAGGUAUGAAACCUGGUUAUUAUA
This is a long non-coding RNA of Sorghum bicolor (sorghum), 4038 nucleotides long. RefSeq lists it as uncharacterized. The transcript is spliced from 2 exons. NCBI's taxonomy places the organism in Eukaryota, Viridiplantae, Streptophyta, Magnoliopsida, Poales, Poaceae. The record is from RefSeq and is a predicted model, not a curated record.